Molecule: ribosomal RNA, 736 nt
Filed under: Pasiropsis sp. UCR ENT 00052195
Lineage: Eukaryota; Metazoa; Arthropoda; Insecta; Hemiptera; Reduviidae
Also listed under: 1 other name
Description: SSU rRNA
Rfam family: Eukaryotic small subunit ribosomal RNA
Source: RNAcentral
CCGUAAUCGGAAUGAGUACACUUUAAAUCCUUUAACAAGGAUCCAUUGGAGGGCAAGUCUGGUGCCAGCAGCCGCGGUAAUUCCAGCUCCAAUAGCGUAUAUUAAAGUUGUUGCGGUUAAAAAGCUCGUAGUUGGUUCUGCGUGCCGCGCUGUCGGUUCGCCGCCUGUCGGUGUAACUGGCAUGUCGCGGCAUGUCCUGUCGGUGGUGAGCGGGUUCCCCGGUGCUCCUUUAGCUUUUUUAAUAGAAAGCUGAAGUGUUGUGCUGUGUGUGUUCCCGUUUGCCGAUCUCCUACUCCGGUGCUCUUAAACGAGUGUCGAGGUAGGCCGACACGUUCACUUUGAACAAAUUAGAGUGCUUAAAGCAGGCUGAAAUAUCUGCCUGAAUAGUGGUGCAUGGAAUGAUAAAACAGGACCUCGGUUCUAUUUUAUUGGUUUUAGGAAUAUGAGGUAAUGAUCAAUGUGGACUGGCGGGGGCAUUCGUAUUGCGACGUUAGAGGUGAAAUUCUUGGAUCGUCGCAAGACGCACUAGAGCGAAAGCAUUUGCCAAGUAUGUCUUAAUUGAUCAAGAACGAAAGUUAGAGGUUCGAAGGCGAUCAGAUACCGCCCUAGUUCUAACCAUAAACGAUGCCAGCCAGCGAUCCGCCGAUGUUCCUUUAAUGACUCGGCGGGGAGCUUCUACCCGGGAAACCAAAGCUUUUGGGUUCCGGGGGAAGUAUGGUUGCAAAGCUGAAACUUA